RNAcentral lists this unclassified non-coding RNA (345 nucleotides) under soil metagenome. Its description in RNAcentral is "partial contains 5.8S ribosomal RNA, internal transcribed spacer 2, and large subunit ribosomal RNA". The stretch from base 1 to 120 matches the Rfam family "5.8S ribosomal RNA", at positions 35 to 154 of the family's 154-position model. The record is from RNAcentral.
GAUGAAGAACGCAGCGAAAUGCGAUACGGAAUGUGAAUUGCAGAAUUCAGUGAAUCAUCGAGUCUUUGAACGCACAUUGCGCCCCCUGGUAUUCCGGGGGGCAUGCCUGUCCGAGCGUCAUUGCUGCCCUCAAGCACGGCUUGUGUGUUGGGCCUCCGUCCUCCUCCCGGGGGACGGGCCCGAAAGGCAGCGGCGGCACCGCGUCCGGUCCUCGAGCGUAUGGGGCUUCGUCACCCGCUCUUGUAGGCCCGGCCGGCGCUUGCCGACACAUCAAUCUUUUUUCCAGGUUGACCUCGGAUCAGGUAGGGAUACCCGCUGAACUUAAGCAUAUCAAUAAGCGGAGGA